This 253-nucleotide ribosomal RNA is filed under the name uncultured bacterium. Its description in RNAcentral is "partial 16S ribosomal RNA". It matches the Rfam family "Bacterial small subunit ribosomal RNA", at positions 524 to 776 of the family's 1533-position model. The record is from RNAcentral.
UACGUAGGGGGCGAGCGUUGUCCGGAUUUAUUGGGCGUAAAGAGCGUGUAGGCGGCCAGGUAGGUCUGCUGUGAAAACUCGAGGCUCAACCUCGAGACGUCGGCGGAAACCAUCUGGCUAGAGUCCGGAAGAGGAGAGUGGAAUUCCUGGUGUAGAGGUGAAAUUCGUAGAUAUCAAGCGGAACACCGGUGGCGAAGGCGGCCUUCUGGACAGUGACUGACGCUGAGACGCGAAAGCGUGGGGAGCAAACAGG